CCCUCUCUCUCUCUCCUCUCUCAGGUUUCGCAGUAAGAUGACAGCGGCUGGUUUCUCAGUCUCGGGGGCGGAGCAUCCCAUCUGCCCCGUGAUGUUGGGGACGCCCGGCUCGCCUCAACGAUGGCUGACGACCUGCUGCAGAGAGGUAUCUAUGUCAUUGGGUUCAGUUACCCCCGUGGUCCUAAGGGCAAGGCCAGGAUCCGGGUUCAAAUCUCGGCAGCGCAUUCCGACGAUGACAUCGACCGCUGCGUGGAGUCCUUCGUGGAGGUCGGGCGCAAGCACGGCGUGGUCUCCUAGCAACCAGCAGCCAUAGCAACGCCAUAGCAACAAACCCAACACACACACACACACUGUAAAAUCCAUUCUCUCAUCUCCUAUUAGCUUUAUUAACAGUAUCGCUGGUCCCUCCCUUCAAAGGAGCGCUGACCAUCUUUAAAAUCCAUUCUCUCACCUCUGAUUAGCUUUAUUAACAGUAUUGCUGGUCCCUCCCUUUAAAGGAGCGCUGACCAUCUUUAAAAUCCAUUCUCUCACCUCUUAUUAGCUUUAUUAACAGGAUCGCUGGUCCCUCCCUUUAAAGGAGCGCUGACCAUCUUUAAAAUCCAUUCUCUCACCUCUUAUUAGCUUUAUUAACAGGAUCGCUGGCCCCUCCCUUUAAAGGAGCGCUGACCAUCUUUGAAAUCCAUUCUCUCACCUCUGAUUAGCUUUAUUAACAGUAUCGCUGGCCCUUCCCUUUAAAGGGAGCGCUGACCAUCUUUAAAAUCCAUUCUCUCACCUCUGAUUAGCUUUAUUAACAGUAUUGCUGGUCCCUCCCUUUAAAGGAGCGCUGACCAUCUUUAAAAUCCAUUCUCUCGCCUCUUAUUAGCUUUAUUAACAGUAUCGCUGGCCCCUCCCUUUUAAAGGAGCGCUGAUUUUAAUAAAAGAUAAGAGGUAAGAGAAUGAAUUUUUUUUUUAAAAAAAAAAAAUUUGAAAAUCAAUUAAAAUCAGCAUAAAAAACUGUCCGAUCGUAACUGAGAAAAUAUUAUUAGCGCUCCAUGAAAUAUUCCUGUAGCGGAACAGUGUGUGCGUGUGCGUGUGUGUGAGAGAGCAUUGAAACGAUGUAGUGGUAUACAUUUAUAAAUAAAUGAAUAUAAAUUAUAUAAAAAAAA
Long non-coding RNA from Acipenser ruthenus (sterlet), 1145 nucleotides. RefSeq lists it as uncharacterized. The transcript is spliced from 2 exons. Lineage: Eukaryota; Metazoa; Chordata; Actinopteri; Acipenseriformes; Acipenseridae. The record is from RefSeq and is a predicted model, not a curated record.